This 256-nucleotide long non-coding RNA is filed under the name Physcomitrium patens. Its description in RNAcentral is "long non-coding RNA (PPAT_LNC007669)". Lineage: Eukaryota; Viridiplantae; Streptophyta; Bryopsida; Funariales; Funariaceae. The record is from RNAcentral.
ACAGGCAUGAUUUUUAUUAAUGUACAAUGUUACAGUUGGCUCCCUUUGAUACACACUUCCUGUUCCGCUUGUAAUGACCAAAAACAGUGUAGUUUGCAUUCCAAUGACAAUCUCAAUUCUUUAAUCUCAAGUUUCAAACGUCCCUGAAAUCAUAUUAUUUUUGAUUAAGCAAUGAAUGCGAUCGAAAGAUAUGGGAAUCCAGAUCUGAUUUUUAAACUCACAGCGGCAGAGGUUUUUGCUGAAAAUGCCGAAUCGA